This 253-nucleotide ribosomal RNA is filed under the name uncultured bacterium. Its description in RNAcentral is "partial 16S ribosomal RNA". It matches the Rfam family "Bacterial small subunit ribosomal RNA", at positions 524 to 776 of the family's 1533-position model. The record is from RNAcentral.
UACGGAGGGUGCAAGCGUUGUUCGGAAUUAUUGGGCGUAAAGCGCGUGUAGGCGGUUGGGCAAGUCAGAUGUGAAAGACUUCCGCUCAACGGAAGAAGUGCAUUUGAAACUACCCGGCUUGAGUUCGGGAGAGGAGAGUGGAAUUCCCGGUGUAGAGGUGAAAUUCGUAGAUAUCGGGAGGAACACCGGUGGCGAAGGCGACUCUCUGGCCCGAUACUGACGCUGAGAAGCGAAAGCGUGGGGAGCAAACAGG